Anas platyrhynchos (mallard) is the source of this 411-nucleotide non-coding RNA. The record is from Rfam. Lineage: Eukaryota; Metazoa; Chordata; Aves; Anseriformes; Anatidae.
GAAAAUAGAAUAAACCUAGGCACUGUUUUGGGAUGUUUAAAGGCAAAAAUUGAUUUUUUUUCCUGCAAGCUCAGGGAGGCCAGAAACCUCCCAUGGAGCAUAAGGGCAAAAGCUCUCUUGAUCUUGAUUUUCAGUACAAAUAGAAAUCAUUAAGUGGGGGUCUCACAAUCUUUCUGACUUUUUAGAUUUUAAGCAGGAGGUGUCAGAAAGUUACCACAGGGAUAACUGGCUUGUGACGGCAAAGCAUUCAUAACGACGUCACAUUGUGACCUUUCCAUGUCAGCUCUUCCUAUCAUUGUGAAGCAGAAUUCACCAAGCAUUGGAUUGUUCACCCAUUAUUUUUCUAUAUGCAUUUCUGCUUUAAUUAUUGUGUUUAUUUCAUAAUUUUCCUAAGACUAGGAAAGUUUUAUC